This 497-nucleotide ribosomal RNA is filed under the name uncultured bacterium. Its description in RNAcentral is "partial 16S ribosomal RNA". It matches the Rfam family "Bacterial small subunit ribosomal RNA", at positions 28 to 507 of the family's 1533-position model. The record is from RNAcentral.
GAUGAACGCUGGCGGCGUGCCUAAUACAUGCAAGUCGAGCGAACAGACGAGGAGCUUGCUCCUCUGACGUUAGCGGCGGACGGGUGAGUAACACGUGGAUAACCUACUUAUAAGACUGGGAUAACUUCGGGAAACCGGAGCUAAUACCGGAUAACAUGUUGAACCGCAUGGUUCAACAGUGAAAGACGGUCUUGCUGGCACUUAUAGAUGGAUCCGCGCCGCAUUAGCUAGUUGGUAAGGUAACGGCUUACCAAGGCAACGAUGCGUAGCCGACCUGAGAGGGUGAUCGGCCACACUGGAACUGAGACACGGUCCAGACUCCUACGGGAGGCAGCAGUAGGGAAUCUUCCGCAAUGGGCGAAAGCCUGACGGAGCAACGCCGCGUGAGUGAAGAAGGUCUUCGGAUCGUAAAACUCUGUUAUUAGGGAAGAACAAAUGUGUAAGUAACUAUGCACGUCUUGACGGUACCUAAUCAGAAAGCCACGGCUAACUACGUG